RNAcentral lists this transfer RNA (75 nucleotides) under Devosia algicola. RNAcentral's name for it is "Devosia sp. G20-9 tRNA-Gly". It matches the Rfam family "tRNA". From Rfam's summary of the family: Transfer RNA (tRNA) molecules are approximately 80 nucleotides in length. Their secondary structure includes four short double-helical elements and three loops (D, anti-codon, and T loops). Lineage: Bacteria; Pseudomonadati; Pseudomonadota; Alphaproteobacteria; Hyphomicrobiales; Devosiaceae. The record is from RNAcentral.
GCGGGUGUAGCUCAAUGGUAGAGCCUUUUGCUUCCCAAGCAAGUGACGAGGGUUCGAUUCCCUUCACCCGCUCCA